This 554-nucleotide small RNA is filed under the name Scopulariopsis coprophila. RNAcentral describes it as "eukaryotic LSU rRNA". It matches the Rfam family "Eukaryotic large subunit ribosomal RNA", at positions 50 to 623 of the family's 3401-position model. The record is from RNAcentral. Lineage: Eukaryota; Fungi; Ascomycota; Sordariomycetes; Microascales; Microascaceae.
GCGGAGGAAAAGAAACCAACAGGGAUUGCCCCAGUAACGGCGAGUGAAGCGGCAACAGCUCAAAUUUGAAAUCUGGUCCCCCCGCGGGGCCCGAGUUGUAAUUUGAAGAGGAUGCUUCUGGCAAGGUGCCGUCCGAGUUCCCUGGAACGGGACGCCGCAGAGGGUGAGAGCCCCGUACGGUCGGACGCCGAGCCUCUGUGAAGCUCCUUCGACGAGUCGAGUAGUUUGGGAAUGCUGCUCAAAAUGGGAGGUAAACCCCUUCUAAAGCUAAAUACCGGCCAGAGACCGAUAGCGCACAAGUAGAGUGAUCGAAAGAUGAAAAGCACUUUGAAAAGAGAGUUAAAAAGCACGUGAAAUUGUUGAAAGGGAAGCGCUUGCGACCAGACUCGCGCCCGUCGGAUCAGCCGUCGCUCGUCGGCGGCGCACUCCGGCGGGCUCGGGCCAGCAUCAGUUCGCCUCGGGGGGAGAAAGGCGGCAGGAAUGUGGCUCUACGGAGUGUUAUAGCCUGCCGUACAAUACCCCCGGGCGGACUGAGGACCGCGCGUAUGCAAGGA